GAAGUGUUAGAAAGUGAAUGCUGCUAACUUAUCACUAUAGCGGUUAAAAUCCGUUUACACUUCU
RNAcentral lists this transfer RNA (64 nucleotides) under Caetetermes taquarussu. Its description in RNAcentral is "tRNA-Ser". The record is from RNAcentral. Lineage: Eukaryota; Metazoa; Arthropoda; Insecta; Blattodea; Termitidae.